Long non-coding RNA from Takifugu rubripes (torafugu), 1831 nucleotides. Lineage: Eukaryota; Metazoa; Chordata; Actinopteri; Tetraodontiformes; Tetraodontidae. The record is from Ensembl.
GGCGACAGUUGUCUCGCACUUUGACUGCUGGCUCUGUGUUGAAUCCCUCCGGCGCUGCGGACGCGGCGGCACAGACGAGGGACGUGUGGCUACAAAAGCCUCGUGAUUUUCAUUGAACGUGUCACAUUUCUCAGCCCGGAGAAGCAACAAAUCAUCUUUCAAAAUGUUGCGUCAGGAUUGCGCCGCUCUUUAAACGAUAAUUUUCUCUUAAACACAGAGAAAUAUUUAUUGUGUUUUAGAGCGUCGGUCUCUCCGGCUAUCAACAAUUAUCUCUGCAGGGUUUGGGGUCAUUAAUCUCCAGAGGUGGAAGUUUAUGCCUUAAAAAGCGGGCGAGGCGAAGGUAGAGAUGAAGGGUGAGGACAAGGCUUGAUGGCAUGAUUAGGUUCCCAGUUUUUCUUUUCGUAGUUGUUGGUGUUUUCCGCCUGCGAUUCCAGUUGUAGAAACAAUUAGAAACUGUUCUAUAGGUUUAUUUUUGUCGCUCUGAAACUGGGUCACAGUUGGAAUUCAUUGCUAGUGCUGUGAAAUCAGUCGCCAUCUUCAGUCAAGGAGACGCUCAGAUCGGCCCGUUUUCCAGCGUGCAGUGAUUCCUGUUUGACAUUCAGAACAAAUGAAUAGUAUUCAUGGUAUGUUCCACAUUUGUCUCCUUUCAGGACAGCAUGUAUUUCACCUUCCAGCUGCCACGAGCUGCUAGCGAAUCCACCGUUGCUUCUCCUGGAGGUCCUUAUUCUGCUUUGGAUAUGGAGCUCAAAGACCCGUCUGGAUUUCAAGACCUUUACCCACAACCACUCCAGGCCCUCAGCCCGCCUUUGCAGGUUCCGAGAGCGACCGUGACCUCCCCAACGCGCUGCCUCUCACCCGUUCUGGCCUUCCCCAAAAGGGAGAACCGGAGUGGCUCGGAGCGACCCAGGGGGGUCAGCAAUGUCGUGUGUGCCGACAGCAGCGGCUUGUUUUCACACAGUCUCCUGCAGGAAGUCAAACCGGAUGACGCGCAGCACAAGGCAAUGAAUUCAGGAGAAGGUGACUACAAGUCUGGUGGCUCCAGCAGUUCUGACUAUCUUAAAAUCAUGAAUCUACCUGAGGAGGAUAAAGAGGCGCUACAAAUGCUGGCCAGUCUCAGAAGGGAGCAGGAGGAAGAUGACUGCGGAGCCUCGAGCCUCGGCGGGCCUGUCGUCCGACAGUGGGACAUCAACACGAGCUUUGAGGAAUCUCUGUGGAACCCCAGCUCUACGCCAAACAGCAAUGUGGACUAUGAUGAGGAAAUAAACACCCUGCAAUUAAUGUCCAGAGAGUGGAUGGAUGCGCUCAGACCUCCUGCUACGUCUCCCAGCCAACAGAGAAGGUCAGGCACGACACGGACCAGUCAGGAAAAUCUAAUCAGAGCGUACAGGAGCAUGAUGGAGAAGAAGGACAGCGAGGAGGAGGACAAAGAGGAGGAUGAAGAGUUAGAUGAGGAGCAGGAAGAGGAGGAGGAGGAUGAGUUCGAGGAGGAGGAAGAGGAUGAAGAGUUAGAGGGAGAAGAGGAUCUUCAAAGCUGAGCUAUGAUCCUUGUUCAUGUAUUACCAACUCGCUGAAUGUGAAGAUCAAAAGAAGCCACAAAGCAACAAAAAAGGGUUAAAAAAUGUGUUGGUGAUUUUGUUAUAAGGGUGGUGACAAGAGUGUUUCUUUCCAUGAAAAGUGUUGGGUUAUUGUUGAAAAAGGUGGACGUCUGUAGCGCCACUGACUGUCUGUUACAUCAAGAUGCUUUUCAUUUGUCCUAACAAAAAUUAAAGGUUUGAAGGAAAACCCAAAGGCUUUGUUUAAGUUAUUUUACACAGGUGGAGCUCAUGGACAG